This 1369-nucleotide ribosomal RNA is filed under the name uncultured bacterium. Its description in RNAcentral is "bacterial SSU rRNA". It matches the Rfam family "Bacterial small subunit ribosomal RNA", at positions 28 to 1381 of the family's 1533-position model. The record is from RNAcentral.
GACGAACGCUGGCGGCGUGCCUAAUACAUGCAAGUAGAACGCUGAAGAGAGGAGCUUGCUCUUCUUGGAUGAGUUGCGAACGGGUGAGUAACGCGUAGGUAACCUGCCUUGUAGCGGGGGAUAACUAUUGGAAACGAUAGCUAAUACCGCAUAACAAUGGAUGACACAUGUCAUUUAUUUGAAAGGGGCAAUUGCUCCACUACAAGAUGGACCUGCGUUGUAUUAGCUAGUAGGUGAGGUAACGGCUCACCUAGGCGACGAUACAUAGCCGACCUGAGAGGGUGAUCGGCCACACUGGGACUGAGACACGGCCCAGACUCCUACGGGAGGCAGCAGUAGGGAAUCUUCGGCAAUGGGGGCAACCCUGACCGAGCAACGCCGCGUGAGUGAAGAAGGUUUUCGGAUCGUAAAGCUCUGUUGUAAGUCAAGAACGAGUGUGAGAGUGGAAAGUUCACACUGUGACGGUAGCUUACCAGAAAGGGACGGCUAACUACGUGCCAGCAGCCGCGGUAAUACGUAGGUCCCGAGCGUUGUCCGGAUUUAUUGGGCGUAAAGCGAGCGCAGGCGGUUUGAUAAGUCUGAAGUUAAAGGCUGUGGCUCAACCAUAGUUCGCUUUGGAAACUGUCAAACUUGAGUGCAGUAGGGGAGAGUGGAAUUCCAUGUGUAGCGGUGAAAUGCGUAGAUAUAUGGAGGAACACCGGUGGCGAAAGCGGCUCUCUGGUCUGUAACUGACGCUGAGGCUCGAAAGCGUGGGGAGCGAACAGGAUUAGAUACCCUGGUAGUCCACGCCGUAAACGAUGAGUGCUAGGUGUUGGAUCCUUUCCGGGAUUCAGUGCCGCAGCUAACGCAUUAAGCACUCCGCCUGGGGAGUACGACCGCAAGGUUGAAACUCAAAGGAAUUGACGGGGGCCCGCACAAGCGGUGGAGCAUGUGGUUUAAUUCGAAGCAACGCGAAGAACCUUACCAGGUCUUGACAUCCCGAUGCUAUUUCUAGAGAUAGAAAGUUACUUCGGUACAUCGGUGACAGGUGGUGCAUGGUUGUCGUCAGCUCGUGUCGUGAGAUGUUGGGUUAAGUCCCGCAACGAGCGCAACCCCUAUUGUUAGUUGCCAUCAUUCAGUUGGGCACUCUAGCGAGACUGCCGGUAAUAAACCGGAGGAAGGUGGGGAUGACGUCAAAUCAUCAUGCCCCUUAUGACCUGGGCUACACACGUGCUACAAUGGUUGGUACAACGAGUUGCGAGUCGGUGACGGCAAGCUAAUCUCUUAAAGCCAAUCUCAGCUCGGAUUGUAGGCUGCAACUCGCCUACAUGAAGUCGGAAUCGCUAGUAAUCGCGGAUCAGCACGCCGCGGUGAAUACGUUCCCGGGCCU